This 484-nucleotide ribosomal RNA is filed under the name uncultured bacterium. RNAcentral's name for it is "partial 16S ribosomal RNA". It matches the Rfam family "Bacterial small subunit ribosomal RNA", at positions 29 to 507 of the family's 1533-position model. The record is from RNAcentral.
AUUGAACGCUGGCGGAAUGCUUUACACAUGCGAGUCGAGCGGCAGCGCGGCCUUCGGGCUGGCGGCGAGCGGCGAACGGGUGAGUAAUGCAUCGGAACAUGCCCAGUCGUGGGGGAUAACACUUCGAAAGAAGUGCUAAUACCGCAUACGUCCUGAGGGGGAAAGCGGGGGAUCGCAAGACCUCGCGCGAUUGGAGUGGCCGAUGUCAGAUUAGCUAGUUGGUGGGGUAAAGGCCUACCAAGGCGACGAUCUGUAGCUGGUCUGAGAGGAUGAUCAGCCACACUGGGACUGAGACACGGCCCAGACUCCUACGGGAGGCAGCAGUGGGGAAUUUUGGACAGUGGGGGCAACCCUGAUCCAGCCAUUCCGCGUGAGUGAAGAAGGCCUUCGGGUUGUAAAGCUCUUUCGGCAGGAACGAAACGGUGGGCUCUAACAUAGUCCGCUAAUGACGGUACCUGAAGAAGAAGCACCGGCUAACUACGUG